CCUACGGGAGGCAGCAGUGAGGAAUAUUGGUCAAUGGACGCGAGUCUGAACCAGCCAAGUAGCGUGAAGGAUGACUGCCCUCUGGGUUGUAAACUUCUUUUAUAUGGGAAUAAAAUGUUCCACGUGUGGGAUUUUGUAUGUACCAUAUGAAUAAGGAUCGGCUAACUCCGUGCCAGCAGCCGCGGUAAUUAGGAGGAUCCGAGCGUUAUCCGGAUUUAUUGGGUUUAAAGGGAGCGUAGGUGGAUUGUUAAGUCAGUUGUGAAAGUUUGCGGCUCAACCGUAAAAUUGCAGUUGAAACUGGCAGUCUUGAGUACAGGAGAGGUGAGCGGAAUUCGUGGUGUAGCGGUGAAAUGCUUAGAUAUCACGAAGAACUCCGAUUGCGAAGGCAGUUCACUGGACUGCAACUGACACUGAGGCUCGAAAGUGUGGGUAUCAAACAGGAUUAGAUACCCCUGUAGUC
This 460-nucleotide ribosomal RNA is filed under the name uncultured bacterium. Its description in RNAcentral is "partial 16S ribosomal RNA". It matches the Rfam family "Bacterial small subunit ribosomal RNA", at positions 338 to 795 of the family's 1533-position model. The record is from RNAcentral.